GACGAACGCUGGCGGCGUGCUUAACACAUGCAAGUCGAACGGAAAGGCCCUGCUUUUGUGGGGUGCUCGAGUGGCGAACGGGUGAGUAACACGUGAGUAACCUGCCCUUGACUUUGGGAUAACUUCAGGAAACUGGGGCUAAUACCGGAUAGGAGCUCCUGCUGCAUGGUGGGGGUUGGAAAGUUUCGGCGGUUGGGGAUGGACUCGCGGCUUAUCAGCUUGUUGGUGGGGUAGUGGCUUACCAAGGCUUUGACGGGUAGCCGGCCUGAGAGGGUGACCGGCCACAUUGGGACUGAGAUACGGCCCAGACUCCUACGGGAGGCAGCAGUGGGGAAUAUUGCACAAUGGGCGGAAGCCUGAUGCAGCAACGCCGCGUGCGGGAUGACGACCUUCGGGUUGUAAACCGCUUUCGCCUGUGACGAAGCGUGAGCGACGGUAAUGGGUAAAGAAGCACCGGCUAACUACGUG
This 468-nucleotide ribosomal RNA is filed under the name uncultured bacterium. RNAcentral's name for it is "partial 16S ribosomal RNA". It matches the Rfam family "Bacterial small subunit ribosomal RNA", at positions 28 to 507 of the family's 1533-position model. The record is from RNAcentral.